GAACCGUCCAAACGUUUAUUCGGAAUCACUGGGCUUAAAGGGUGCGUAGGCGGUCCGGAAAGUUGGGUGUGAAAUCCCUCGGCUCAACCGAGGAAUUGCGCCCAAAACUUCCGGACUCGAGUGAGGCAGAGGUGAGCGGAACUUGCGGCGGAGCGGUGAAAUGCGUUGAUAUCGCAAGGAACACCAGUAGCGAAGGCGGCUCACUGGGCCUUUUUCUGACGCUGAGGCACGAAAGCUAGGGUAGCGAACGGGAUUAGAUACCCCGGGUAGUCCUAGCUGUAAACGAUGAGCACUUGGUUGGAGGAGCUUCGGUUCUUCCCAGCCGUAGCGAAAGUGUUAAGUGCUCCGCCUGGGGAGUAUGGUCGCAAGGCUG
Molecule: ribosomal RNA, 373 nt
Filed under: uncultured organism
Description: partial 16S ribosomal RNA
Rfam family: Bacterial small subunit ribosomal RNA
Source: RNAcentral